ACCUGACUGGCUUAGUCGGUGGAGCAUGGGACUCUUAAUCCCGGGGUCAAGAGUUUGAGCCCCACGUCAGGUG
RNAcentral lists this transfer RNA (73 nucleotides) under Ailuropoda melanoleuca (giant panda). It matches the Rfam family "tRNA". From Rfam's summary of the family: Transfer RNA (tRNA) molecules are approximately 80 nucleotides in length. Their secondary structure includes four short double-helical elements and three loops (D, anti-codon, and T loops). Lineage: Eukaryota; Metazoa; Chordata; Mammalia; Carnivora; Ursidae. The record is from Rfam by way of RNAcentral.